Molecule: ribosomal RNA, 377 nt
Filed under: Shigella flexneri
Lineage: Bacteria; Pseudomonadati; Pseudomonadota; Gammaproteobacteria; Enterobacterales; Enterobacteriaceae
Description: bacterial SSU rRNA
Rfam family: Bacterial small subunit ribosomal RNA
Source: RNAcentral
CAAGUCGAACGGUAACAGGAAGCAGCUUGCUGUUUCGCUGACGAGUGGCGGACGGGUGAGUAAUGUCUGGGAAACUGCCUGAUGGAGGGGGAUAACUACUGGAAACGGUAGCUAAUACCGCAUAACGUCGCAAGACCAAAGAGGGGGACCUUCGGGCCUCUUGCCAUCGGAUGUGCCCAGAUGGGAUUAGCUAGUAGGUGGGGUAACGGCUCACCUAGGCGACGAUCCCUAGCUGGUCUGAGAGGAUGACCAGCCACACUGGAACUGAGACACGGUCCAGACUCCUACGGGAGGCAGCAGUGGGGAAUAUUGCACAAUGGGCGCAAGCCUGAUGCAGCCAUGCCGCGUGUAUGAAGAAGGCCUUCGGGUUGUAAAGU